UGCAAGUCGAGCGGACAGAUGGGAGCUUGCUCCCUGAUGUUAGCGGCGGACGGGUGAGUAACACGUGGGUAACCUGCCUGUAAGACUGGGAUAACUCCGGGAAACCGGGGCUAAUACCGGAUGGUUGUCUGAACCGCAUGGUUCAGACAUAAAAGGUGGCUUCGGCUACCACUUACAGAUGGACCCGCGGCGCAUUAGCUAGUUGGUGAGGUAACGGCUCACCAAGGCGACGAUGCGUAGCCGACCUGAGAGGGUGAUCGGCCACACUGGGACUGAGACACGGCCCAGACUCCUACGGGAGGCAGCAGUAGGGAAUCUUCCGCAAUGGACGAAAGUCUGACGGAGCAACGCCGCGUGAGUGAUGAAGGUUUUCGGAUCGUAAAGCUCUGUUGUUAGGGAAGAACAAGUGCCGUUCAAAUAGGGCGGCACCUUGACGGUACCUAACCAGAAAGCCACGGCUAACUACGUGCCAGCAGCCGCGGUAAUACGUAGGUGGCAAGCGUUGUCCGGAAUUAUUGGGCGUAAAGGGCUCGCAGGCGGUUUCUUAAGUCUGAUGUGAAAGCCCCCGGCUCAACCGGGGAGGGUCAUUGGAAACUGGGGAACUUGAGUGCAGAAGAGGAGAGUGGAAUUCCACGUGUAGCGGUGAAAUGCGUAGAGAUGUGGAGGAACACCAGUGGCGAAGGCGACUCUCUGGUCUGUAACUGACGCUGAGGAGCGAAAGCGUGGGGAGCGAACAGGAUUAGAUACCCUGGUAGUCCACGCCGUAAACGAUGAGUGCUAAGUGUUAGGGGGUUUCCGCCCCUUAGUGCUGCAGCUAACGCAUUAAGCACUCCGCCUGGGGAGUACGGUCGCAAGACUGAAACUCAAAGGAAUUGACGGGGGCCCGCACAAGCGGUGGAGCAUGUGGUUUAAUUCGAAGCAACGCGAAGAACCUUACCAGGUCUUGACAUCCUCUGACAAUCCUAGAGAUAGGACGUCCCCUUCGGGGGCAGAGUGACAGGUGGUGCAUGGUUGUCGUCAGCUCGUGUCGUGAGAUGUUGGGUUAAGUCCCGCAACGAGCGCAACCCUUGAUCUUAGUUGCCAGCAUUCAGUUGGGCACUCUAAGGUGACUGCCGGUGACAAACCGGAGGAAGGUGGGGAUGACGUCAAAUCAUCAUGCCCCUUAUGACCUGGGCUACACACGUGCUACAAUGGACAGAACAAAGGGCAGCGAAACCGCGAGGUUAAGCCAAUCCCACAAAUCUGUUCUCAGUUCGGAUCGCAGUCUGCAACUCGACUGCGUGAAGCUGGAAUCGCUAGUAAUCGCGGAUCAG
This 1313-nucleotide ribosomal RNA is filed under the name Bacillus sp. EN-24. RNAcentral's name for it is "bacterial SSU rRNA". It matches the Rfam family "Bacterial small subunit ribosomal RNA", at positions 56 to 1352 of the family's 1533-position model. The record is from RNAcentral. Lineage: Bacteria; Bacillati; Bacillota; Bacilli; Caryophanales; Bacillaceae.